RNAcentral lists this ribosomal RNA (425 nucleotides) under uncultured bacterium. RNAcentral describes it as "partial 16S ribosomal RNA". It matches the Rfam family "Bacterial small subunit ribosomal RNA", at positions 354 to 796 of the family's 1533-position model. The record is from RNAcentral.
GUGGGGAAUCUUGCGCAAUGGGCGAAAGCCUGACGCAGCCAUGCCGCGUGAAUGAUGAAGGUCUUAGGAUUGUAAAAUUCUUUCACCGGGGACGAUAAUGACGGUACCCGGAGAAGAAGCUCCGGCUAACUUCGUGCCAGCAGCCGCGGUAAUACGAAGGGGGCUAGCGUUGCUCGGAAUUACUGGGCGUAAAGGGCGCGUAGGCGGACAGCUUAGUCAGAGGUGAAAGCCCAGGGCUCAACCUUGGAAGUGCCUUUGAUACUGGCUGUCUUGAGUUUGGGAGAGGUGAGUGGAACUCCGAGUGUAGAGGUGAAAUUCGUAGAUAUUCGGAAGAACACCAGUGGCGAAGGCGACUCACUGGCCCAAUACUGACGCUGAGGCGCGAAAGCGUGGGGAGCAAACAGGAUUAGAAACCCGUGUAGUCC